This 466-nucleotide ribosomal RNA is filed under the name uncultured bacterium. Its description in RNAcentral is "partial 16S ribosomal RNA". It matches the Rfam family "Bacterial small subunit ribosomal RNA", at positions 28 to 507 of the family's 1533-position model. The record is from RNAcentral.
GAUGAACGCUGGCGGCGUGCUUAACACAUGCAAGUCGAACGAGGAAGCUCAGCUUGCUGGGUGGAUUAGUGGCGAACGGGUGAGUAACACGUGAGUAACCUGCCCUUAACUCUGGGAUAAGCCUGGGAAACUAGGUCUAAUACCGGAUAGGAGCGCCUACCGCAUGGUGGGUGUUGGAAAGAUUUAUCGGUUUUGGAUGGACUCGCGGCCUAUCAGCUUGUUGGUGAGGUAAUGGCUCACCAAGGCGACGACGGGUAGCCGGCCUGAGAGGGUGACCGGCCACACUGGGACUGAGACACGGCCCAGACUCCUACGGGAGGCAGCAGUGGGGAAUAUUGCACAAUGGGCGAAAGCCUGAUGCAGCGACGCCGCGUGAGGGAUGACGGCCUUCGGGUUGUAAACCUCUUUCAGUAGGGAAGAAGCGAAAGUGACGGUACCUGCAGAAGAAGCACCGGCUAACUACGUG